Molecule: non-coding RNA, 499 nt
Filed under: Solanum lycopersicum (tomato)
Lineage: Eukaryota; Viridiplantae; Streptophyta; Magnoliopsida; Solanales; Solanaceae
Description: Bacterial small subunit ribosomal RNA
Rfam family: Bacterial small subunit ribosomal RNA
Source: Rfam by way of RNAcentral
GACUUUGCUCCUGACUCAUAAACAACGCUAGCUAUAAGAUUAACAGAUGCAAUUCAAGAUAGCUCUUCUCGCCCAGGAGGUGAAAAGAAUUGUGAACAAAGUGGUGAAUGGGUGCGUAACACAUAAGAAUCUACGAAAGAGUUUGAGCCAAAUCUCGAGGAAAGCUAAAAAAAUAUUAUUUGAUGAACAUGCAUAGUAUUAGGUAGUUGGUCAUGUUAAGGUUGACCAAGCCAAUGAUGUUUAGCUGGUUUUAUUGGAGAUUAGGCACACUAGGACUGGGACACGGCUCGGAGUCCUACAUAGGGCAGCAGUGGAGUAUCUUGGACAAUCAACGGAAGCUCAGUCCAACAAUAUCACAUGAGUGAAAAAAGGCAACGCCUUUUGAAAAGUUCUUUUGUUGAGUGCAGUCAUGAUAGGACUCGAGGAAAAAGCCUUGAUGAACUUCUUUUGAUCACUUUUCUAACAUUGCAACUCUAAUUCAUUUAGGCAAGACAUCUUG